GUCGGAGUACCUAUUUCAGAAUACGAAUACGAGAUUAAUACAAAGCGUUUUGAACGAGAACUUCGAAUUAAAAUCCUAGUUUCCCGGGUUUCUAGUGAGUGUACGAGGAAUGAGACGUUCGAAGGUCCAAUUACCCUAUUCGGAUGAUGGAAUAGCCUCGGGAGACACUCGAUCAAUCGGGCGGUCAAACUUCCCAACUCAACCAGGCCCACGGGACCCACGACCUCUGUUUUACAAUCCGAAAGUUCCUAAAGGUUUC
This 259-nucleotide long non-coding RNA is filed under the name Prunus persica (peach). RNAcentral's name for it is "long non-coding RNA (PPER_LNC008097)". The record is from RNAcentral. Lineage: Eukaryota; Viridiplantae; Streptophyta; Magnoliopsida; Rosales; Rosaceae.